Ipomoea nil (Japanese morning glory) is the source of this 553-nucleotide long non-coding RNA. RefSeq lists it as uncharacterized. The record is from RefSeq and is a predicted model, not a curated record. NCBI's taxonomy places the organism in Eukaryota, Viridiplantae, Streptophyta, Magnoliopsida, Solanales, Convolvulaceae. The transcript has 2 exons.
UCGAAACCUUAACAUCGAAGGAAGAAAGACACAAAUGAUAUAAAGAUUGGAUUUGAAGAAAUUUAUUGUUUAUUAGUACCCAGAAGGGACUGUGCAGGCAGAUCAGAGUAGAAAAAAAAAAUGUGCUUUAACUUGGCAUACAAAAUCAAGAAUGGAAAGAUUGUGUUGAAGAAAUUCAAGAAUGAAGAUGAGGAUGAUGAUAAUAAGGCAUUACUAGCAAAGGAGAUUGAGAGAUGGAAGAAGCAGCAGCAGAACAUAGCCAAGGGUGAUGAUGACAAGGCAAUCACCAACCUAAAAGUUGAUCAUCAAGAAGCUAAGUGGAUAUGAUUAUGAGGAUGAAUGGAGUUGAAUGAAAUGUGCCCUUUGCCUCCUAGUGUAAGGAACAGCUCUGUGAUAUCCAAGGGAAGUUGUUGUUGUUGUUGUUGCUGCUGAUUUUCUACUUGCUUCUUCGUCUUCUCUGCAUCUCAACUUUCCUUUACAGCUUCUUGUUGUAACUGAUGAUGAACAAGUAUGCCAUUUUUCUUUCAAUGAAUUCUGAGUGAAAUUCAAGAAA